UUUCCAAUACCCAACCUUCUUUCAGAUAUCCCAUGCGCGUAUUUUCCUUCUUUCCACCUCCCAAAAUCAAUUUUUUGCAGCUUCCAAUGAAUCGUGCUAGCCGUCGCCCCUUCGUUUUCUUAUUCUUCCUCUAUAUUAAUUCUGUCAUCUACAGACAAUUGCAUGUUCCAUCUUCAUCCGUAAACCCCAUCCCCAGACCAUUGCAUCUUCGGUCGUCAUCCCCAAAGUGAAAAGAGGAGUGGUGUUUGACGAUGAUGGACAUCUCUAUUUUGAAAUCUCUUUUACAUUCUAUGAUUUUGUUGUUGUAAUUAUUCUUUUGCUUUGAAGAUUCUUAUUGAUAUUUCCAAUGUUUUAGGUUUGUUCGAUUUCCAUAUAUAAUUCCUUGCUAGACAUUUUAUCUUUUUCGUUGGUCGCUACAUGGUUUGGUUUCUUCUCUUCAUCGGUUAGUUGCAGAAAGAGUACUAUUGAAGCUUUGUCGGAGAAGAUGAAAGAAGUUGCGUUGGUACCUGAUUUUUUGCCGUUUCCAAUUAAUCGAUUUAUGGCUACUCUUACUCAUUCUAUUCAGGCUUUCUUCUGCUUUUAAAUUUCAUUUUUGCAUAUGUUUCUAAAUUUUAAGUUUUAUAUGUUUAAUUAUGUGAUUAGGUUUCUCCAUGAUCCGGAAAGAUGGGGAAGGGAGGCAGAUCCGCUAGGCUGACAAAAUUCAUCAGAUCUGGAAUACCAGAGCCUUACAUUGAGGUUCUUGAAACUUCAACAAUUUUGAUCCUUUCAUUUUUUGGAAAUCGGGUUCACUAAAGGUUGUGGUUGCUCAAGCAGUAUUAGCCUACUAAGUGUUCGAUGAAAUGUCUGUGUUGGUGACGGGGUUUCAAAUUUCCAAGAAAUGAAGAAAGGAGGGCACCCACUAGAGAAAUGGAUAUCAUAUGUUACUCAAACCGCUAGGUUGAUGACAAAGAUACGCCUUACUGGUUUGUUUGAUUUCCAUAUAUAAUUCCUUGCUAGACAUUUUAUCUAUCUCAGCUUAGAAGAUUAUAACUUUUUUGAAUAUGCACCAUGAAGUUGCUGCUGCAGAUUUGAUAAAAUAGCUGCAGCAUGCCUCUGAUAUCAAUGUUGUAUGUGUCCAUUUACUACAGUGAGCUGUCAAAAACACUCAUCCUUACAAACAGGUUUUGCAGAAAAUGGACAUCUUCAACCAGAGAAAUGACCAAUCUGAAUGGGACUGGAUUGAUGUGCAUAAAGGCUAUAAUGAUGUGAACCUUAGUAGUAACAAGAGUUUUAGGGGUUGGAGUUAUCUGAAUUAAAGUAAUGAUGUAUAUGAUUUCAGCCAUUGACUGAGUAGUGAUUUGAACUAUUAUAAUUACUCUCUCCCUGCAUAAUUAUAAUAUCAAUUUAAAACAUUUGUUUUGCCCUUUUUUUAGCAUUAAAUCAAUGGGUUAUUUGUGUAGUUUAUCAGGUUUUUCCUUCAGAAGGAAAAUUUAGUUAUUGUAUCUACUUUGGUAAAACAGUUAUGCAUCCAAUUCAAGUAAAAACGGAAUAAAAAGUUCCUGUUCUCUAAACAUUUUGUGGAAGAAAUUUUGUAAUCAAGGUUGUGUUAGAGUCUACCAUGCCCAGAAUUUAGCUAAGGUUAAAAGACCUAUAAAUGAGAAAGAUUCAUGUUAUCAGCUUUAAAAUUGAUACCAUGGAGUUCAAAAUUUUUAACACCGUAUUCUAUAUUCU
This is a long non-coding RNA of Vicia villosa (hairy vetch), 1710 nucleotides long. RefSeq lists it as uncharacterized. The transcript has 4 exons. NCBI's taxonomy places the organism in Eukaryota, Viridiplantae, Streptophyta, Magnoliopsida, Fabales, Fabaceae. The record is from RefSeq and is a predicted model, not a curated record.